AGCUCUUUCCAAUGCACUACUGAUUAAGGCAGCUGUAAGAGUGAGGGUUUUGAGCCUUGCAGGUUUUCUCUGGUUUGCAAGCAGAGGAGUUACUAUACUCCUUGUGUGAGGCAUUUAGUGCUAUCAAGUGGCAGUGAACCAGGGCUUUGAGAAAGAAGAAACAGAAGAUGAUGGCAAAUUAACAAAGCAGCAGAGGAGCAUUUCUAGACCAAAGAAGGCUGAACUAGGUUUGAAAGGGCAAUGAUGAGAAUCCACAGACUAGACCCAAGGGAUAAAGCGCUUUUGCUUCCUCAAGAACGGCCUUGGAAAAGGACAAGAUAAGGGAGGCGAAAGGGAAGGAUGUUCCUCUGAACAAGACUGAAAUACUACGCUGAAGGUUUUUUUAAGUUGUUACUACUGAUAUGGUUGGGUAAUUGGAGUCUGUGUACUCUGUCCUGUGUUAGUCUGGCUGCUUGGGAAGAUAACUUUUGUCCUUCUUUAACCUGCUGUUUCUGGAACUGGGGGGCGUGGGAAGAACCUGACAUGACUCCAGGUAUUAUGACACAGAAAGCUAUGCCUUCACUGUGUCUUCUGAUUAGUCAGAAAGAGACAAUACUACAGAGAAGUUCAGAGAAAAACAGAAAUGACUAGGGGGCUUCCUGGACUGACUUAUGAGGAAAAGGUGAGAAAGCUGCUGUGCAUCUGUACAGUUCUGCUAAGUGAUUAAUGGGGAAUGUGAUGAUAACAUACAACUAAUUGAGGCUUGUAUAUGCCAAAGAGAGGAAUUAGUUCUGUGUUGUGUGAGGAGGAUGAGUAACGAACACAUGCUACUGUCCUGAAGAUGGCUGUAUGAUGUACCCAUAGCAACAGGAGUUGUUUGGUGAAUGAGAACUGCAUGAUAUACUUGGUUUAGGAAUACCAAAUAGUACUAAAAAUCUGUUAUUACAUGGUGAUGCAAAUUAACUUUUCUCACAAAGAAAAACACUUCAUCCCCUCAUAGCUUCAGAUACGGGAUACUGUCUUGCUCUCAAGUUAUUAAAAAUAAACUGGAAGAAAGUGAAUCAGUGCCACGUACUCUCUUCAAGACAUCAUACUCAAGAGGAGAAUUGUACUGCUCCAGCUUGAAUAUUCUCUCCUCUGCUAUUAAGGAGAGGAAAGAACCCGCAGAAGUAUUGCUUUUCCUCAUAGCAAAGGAGGUUAUUAGUAUGCCAUCCUGCUUGAAAGAGCUCAAAUUUUGAAACAUGUCAUAACAAAGAAAACAAUACCAUGGUGCAAGAGCACAAAUAUUAUGACAGUGUGUACUCUCAGUCCUUCCUUAUACACACCCCCUCUGGCUCUGGAAAAGAGGGUAAAGGCCUAGUCCAUCCAGAUGUAUGGAGGUUAAACUUCCUGAAGGCAAUAACAAUGUUUAGCUCCUAUGCAAGGCUGGAGACUAUGUAAAUUACUAGUUUUUGAAACUGGCAAUCUAUAUAACUUAAAUAAUGAUGCAUUAAUAUUGGCUUGAAUGUCUAGGAAAGGCCAGGCUCUCACUAGUCCUCUGACUGAUUUUAUGACAGGGUAUUUGGUCUUCAUAGAUGUCUCUUCUGAAGCUGGUUUCAAGACUUCUGAGAGUGUCCAUGAUGUCAGGACAGUUUAUUCAAGAAGAAAAUGUUUCCUCUCCAGAACAUAAAUGAAAGAUGGAGCCAUAUUCACCCCAUUAUUAAAGAGCUAUUGCAGUACUCAGCAAAGUUGCAACAGGAUACAAUCACCCUUGCCAAAAUCACAGCUGUAGCGUGUUGAAUUUGGCUGGAGGUGGAUUUCA
Cygnus olor (mute swan) is the source of this 1780-nucleotide long non-coding RNA. RefSeq lists it as uncharacterized. Lineage: Eukaryota; Metazoa; Chordata; Aves; Anseriformes; Anatidae. The transcript is spliced from 4 exons. The record is from RefSeq and is a predicted model, not a curated record.